AGUGAACGCUGGCGGUGGGCCUAACACAUGCAAGUCGAACGGCAACACAGUGAGAGCUUGCUCUUACGGGUAGCGAGUGACGGGCGAGUAAGGAAUACAUCAGCAUCUACUUUUUCGUGGAGGAUAACGUGGGACAACUUACGCUAAUACCGCAUACGACCUACGGGUGGAAGCAAUAGAUCUUCGGGGCUUUCGCGAUUGUAUGAGCCGAUGUCGGAUUAGCUAGUUGGCGGGGUAAAGGCCCACCAAGGCGACGAUACGUAGCUGGCCUGAGAGGAUGAUCAGCCACACUGGAACUGAGACACGGUCCAGACUCCUACGGGAGGCAGCAGUGGGGAAUCUUCGGCAAUGGGCGAAAGCCUGACGCAGCAACACCGCGUGAGUGAAGAAGGUCUUCGGGUCGUAAAGCUCUGUUGUUGGGAAAGAACAGCUGUAUGUUAAUAUACCGACGUCUUGACGGUACCUAAAGAAAAAGCACCGGCUAACUUCGUG
Molecule: ribosomal RNA, 492 nt
Filed under: uncultured bacterium
Lineage: Bacteria
Description: partial 16S ribosomal RNA
Rfam family: Bacterial small subunit ribosomal RNA
Source: RNAcentral